UUUUGUUCGACAAAUUACUCAGAAAUACUACUGACAAUAGAGGACAAGGACCUCUGGCGGGGCUGGAGCGCACCAGGCGCUCGGCUCCCCGCCAAAGCAACAGAUAGGUUCGCAGGGGGUGAGUAGGUUUACUCGGUAAUGAUCCCUCCGCUGGUUCACCAACGGAGA
This 168-nucleotide unclassified non-coding RNA is filed under the name uncultured fungus. Its description in RNAcentral is "sequence contains ITS1". Lineage: Eukaryota; Fungi. The record is from RNAcentral.